AACCUUAUGGAUCCUUCGGAAGUUCCGAUGAUACAGUAUCAAGCUCACCAACCACUUUAAUAAAGUACCUUCAAUCUUGUCAUUUUUUUCUAUAGCACCACGUACUGACUUUUUUUUGACACUUUAAAUACAGAGCUUGACAAGUUUUCCUAAAUUUUGCAGAUUGGUACAGUAGUUUACAAGGGAGAUUGUGCGAUCAAAGGUGACAUUGCUUAAAUAUCCAUCAUAUGUUUACGCGGGCAUCCGCGAGCACGUGCAGGAGCUACGUGGGACGCUACAGGUGGGAGGACAGGACUCCGGCAAACAGUUGCCUUUUCUGAAUUGUACAACAGCAAAGACUAGAUGCAGUACUAAAGAGAGAAGACGUACGUUAUCGGUGACCAGUCACAAUAGUUGAAUUUUUUUCUUCUGAUGCCACUCAUUCUGACCUCUCAAGAAAUAUAUGGGUGCUAUCACAAGGACACGUGAGUCGCACUGUUCCGAAGAAAAGAACAUGCGCCUAAUAGUGUGUGUGACUCACGUCUCUAGUUGGUAGUGUGAGUCAUCACACCUUUCUUUGACAUGGACUGCUCCACGGCUUGUGUACAUCAAACCAAUUAAACCAGAGGAGCAAUCAGGUAUGUGUUGUAUGCUCCAAACAAAUGGAGCGUGCACACGUUACCAAGCAAGUAUAUAUGGACCGAGAAUUUUUUGAGUUGGUAGAUGAAAUAAAUAGGUCUAUCACCAGCUCUUUUAGUAUCAUGCAUGCAAGUUUAUAUACAUAUGCAAUUGCCAUCUCUCACCUCACAUGGCAGGUGUAAGGGCUCUCAUGUAUGCGUGACAAGCAACAACAUUCAUUUUUUCCUCUAUCAUGCCCCUUUUCAACCAUGUUUGUGAUUGUGUGACACAAAAUACCGCAACAAAUUCAAUGGGAGUAUAAAUGGGCAUGAUGAAGCAGUCCGUGUCAACUCAUGGUGUGACAUGCUUGUGUGUGUGGCAAUUUGCAUGUGUGCACUUCAUUGAAGCUUGGAAUGAGUGGCACCAGAAGAAGAUCUUCCACAGUGUUGUCAGUUCCUGUAGACAACUAGUGCACAUUAGUGGUCGAACCAAGUACCUUUAUUUUCUCUGGGAGUGUUCAAUGUUUCAUCAGAAGAACAUCUUCAACUACGCGUGCGUAUGAAGCCUAUGCAUUCUUGUCACCGUGUGGUUAUUAAAUAAAUGAAGAUUCCUCCAUCCAUUAAGGAACAUAUGUUUAUUGUCAUUUUCACUCUUGUACCAUGCUGAUCACACACAAAAACUUAUUUAAGCACGUGAUCCACCAAUUCUCGUAUUUCUCAUGCAAAGAAAAAACAUACUCAUAUUUCUCAGGCAAAACAUAAAAACUAUUAUUUUCUCUCUCCAAGCUUAUUGACUGACCUUCUGGUCAUUCAGUACAUGGGUAACAAUCCCUGCCUAAGAUUGAUCAGCUAUCAUGACCUUUCUAUAUCUUUGUUUCUUGUCUACUAAUUAUGUUGCCCAAGCCUGCUAGAACACAUCAUGAUUGCCUAACUAUAUGAUGUUUGUUUCUCUCCUCCCAUCAUAUUGACUAGGAUACAACCACAAAAUUGAUAUAUAAAUGUAUCCAGGUCGAUGCACGACAUGGGAAUUGUCUGGAUUGUCUACAUGCACUAACUCGUUUGGAAUUAGUGACACCAGAAGAACGUGCUACAGUUUGUUCUCAUUGAUGCAACAUGGGACACAUGCACGAUAGUAUCCAUGCAUUUUUUUCCUAAUUAGAUGCAUAGGGAAAGUACAAUGACAUAUCGAACAAGAGUGUCACACUAAGAAACAAAGGAGUGCUCACAAGCUAGAUCCACCCUCUACUAACUCACAACUUCACCUUUUCCUUCUGAUCUAACUCCACCCUCUUGCAUCUCUACGCAUAGAGCUAGCAAUGACAUUGAUGAAACUAGUAUGUUCAGAGUUCUGACGCCCAUAAACACGACCAAGCUUAUGAUAACACACAACGUUCCUAUAAAGUAAGUAGUACCCCCUUUGUUCCAUAAUGUAGUGAGUAAAGUUUUUUCUCAAAACUAACAUUUUCCAAAUUUGACCAAGUUUACAUAAAAACACAUCCAUGAUACCAUUCUUUGUCCACCAUCAACAAAGGUAAGUAAAUAUUUUCCUUGAACUUCAGGAUGCAUAAGCUAAUCUUAUUUGAAAUGAGUGGCAAUAAAAAACAUAUCUCAUGGCUUAUUUUCUAGGCACAACUAAUUGAAUGGGAAGCAUAUCUCUAAUGUGCUCCAGCCCCCAAGGCAUGUCAAAUUGCCUUACGAAAACAAAUCAGCCAUUCAGACCAUAUUGAACAUAAGAGGCAUGAGUGGAAUUCAUGCAUGAAGCAAUCAUUAUGGAGUGGCCCUACAUUAUCACUACCUCCCUCAGCAUCAGAAUAUCUCCCUUCCUUUCUUGGUCCACUAAACUGUCAAACAAUUCACUCUAGCAUUUACUAUGUACCACAUAAUGUCAAAUGUUGAUGAGCAUGUAUAAAUACAAAAAUUCUACUACUAAUAAGUGUCUCAAACUAGAAAGAGCAAAGCCAUUUGAAAUGCAAAAGACACUUUGGGGAGUCUUAACCUAGAAACGGGGAUAUGAGUCUCUGCCGGGACAAAGCAUAUGAGAGGAUCCCCAUUUUGCAAAAGUGAAGCUAGCUAGAAAGCGGGUCUUAGUCUACUUCCUUUUUUUACAUAAGGAAAUAAAUACUUGCAAAAACUCAUCUUUCUUCCAUCCUAAGAAGUUUGUCCGGACAUAAUUAUCAUUUCCGAUGUAUGGACUUGCUUGCAUAGAGACUGCCGGAGCAAUGUUGGCUUCAUACACUAGAUCUCCGCCAAGCUAUGAAAGUGCUUUCGAGCGUUUCCCUGUAAUUAUUAUUAAGAAAUAUCACGUGUGCUUCCUUCAUCAGUAGUUUAGUACAACUAUAUUUUAUAGAAGAGAGUUCAAGAGUAUUCCUCACACAUGUUAUGACACAUGCUCAACUCAAUGCUUUUGUUGUAAUGGUCAAAUGGAAGAGAAUGAAGCACUGCCUCGUCUCAAAUUGACGUGUUUGUACAGUUGUCACCAUAAUGAAGGGGUGGAAAAAUGGAAAAUAUUGAACGUAAGUAUUAUGCAUAACUAAUGGAUAAACUAAUUGUAUCAUAAAUCCUUCUACUAUACUCCAUUCCAUUGGGAAGAAUAAGUUUGUGGGUAAUGUUCAUUCCAACUGAACAAGACUUACUUCCAACCGCUUUUUUCUCGAGAAAGCAUAGGAAUUCAUCUAAGCUUAUUCAUAAUUCUAUUUUCUAUACUAUCUUGUGAUAUUGUACUGCAAACACUCGGUAUGACAAUAGAUUGAGAUAAAAAAAUAGGUCAUGAUAAUUUUCUAAAUUUGAAGCAUACAACAACUUACAUUUAUUGCCACUUAAGAUGUGCACAUGAGCCAUUGCUUUUGAGAAAAACAUCUCCUAUCAAGAACCAUAUUUCGCUCAAAUUGUUAUUGAUGGGAUGUUUUCCAGCAACAUGGUGGGACCAUAAGUUGUAUGCGUAUUUUGGAAGUUGAGAUGAAAUUCAUUGUGUUUUGUCCUAGGGAGAAUGUUAAGAUGAACAUCUAGGCAUAAUUAUAAACUACGUUUUGACAACAAAAUAAGUCCGUUCAUGAUUACGAGUUGUGACUGUCAAGAAUGAUAAUUUUUCUACUAAAUAGACACACAUGCGCGCGCACACACACAGAGAGAGAGAGAGAGAGAGAGAUUUCUCACUUGGCAAGCAAAAGAAAUUGACACACACACAGUCGCAUUGGUCAUGCUACAAUUUCUCACUCUGCAAGCAAAACAAUUGGUCGCGGACUACAUAUUAGGAACAUAAGAUUUGGAGACAUAGGCUAAACUAAGGUGCUAGUUUUCAUUGCAUUUGAGUUGCACGCCUUACAUACUGCUAAACCUAUUAGAUGGUUGAGAAAUCAAAGUUCCAUGGAUUUUGAACUUAUUGAACACAUUACAAUUCUUUGAAAUUCUUGUUGAG
This 4011-nucleotide long non-coding RNA is filed under the name Hordeum vulgare. RNAcentral's name for it is "long non-coding RNA (HVUL_LNC013967)". Lineage: Eukaryota; Viridiplantae; Streptophyta; Magnoliopsida; Poales; Poaceae. The record is from RNAcentral.